UGCGGCUGGAUCCCCUCCUUUCUAGAGCGAUGCACCUGCGCAUCGCCAGCGUCCACAACCUAUCGGCUGUUGGUUGUCAGAAGUCGGUCCAUGGUCGAACGCCGCGCGAGUUGCGCGCGGCGCGAAAGCCGACCUGACAACUGCCGGCUAUUCCAGCUGACAACGGACAACGAACAACGGGUCUGUAGCUCAGUUGGUUAGAGCACCGUCUUGAUAAGGCGGGGGUCGUUGGUUCAACUCCAACCAGACCCACCAGAUGAAAACUCUCCGCGCCGGUAGACGAAGAGCGGGGGAUGCGGGCCUCGGGGCUGUAGCUCAGCUGGGAGAGCAUCUGCUUUGCAAGCAGGGGGUCGUCGGUUCGAAUCCGAUCAGCUCCACCAGCACCCAUCGAGGAAUCACGAGUACGCGAGCGUGCGCGCCGCGCAGUCGUGACUCCUCGUGAGUCGGCUGUUCGUUCUUUAACAAUUCGGAAGAAGCGUGCGUGCCGUCCGAUGUCCGGACGGUGCGCAUAGGUAGUGAUUGCAUCGGUUCGCUCGCCCCUCAGUCAGCAGGGCGGGCGGACGCGCCGCGAGAUCCGUCCAUUCGCAUCCGGGCACCCGAGCCCGGAGCGCGUUUGGGGUUAUAGGGUCAAGCGACAAAGUGCAUGUGGUGGAUGCCUUGGCGAUCACAGGCGAUGAAGGACGUCGUAGCGUGCGAAAAGCUUCGGGGAGCCCGCAAACAGGCUUUGAUCCGGAGAUGUCCGAAUGGGGAAACCCGG
Molecule: unclassified non-coding RNA, 757 nt
Filed under: uncultured bacterium
Lineage: Bacteria
Description: partial contains 16S ribosomal RNA, 16S-23S ribosomal RNA intergenic spacer, and 23S ribosomal RNA
Rfam family: Bacterial large subunit ribosomal RNA (bases 626-757)
Source: RNAcentral